This 253-nucleotide ribosomal RNA is filed under the name uncultured bacterium. RNAcentral's name for it is "partial 16S ribosomal RNA". It matches the Rfam family "Bacterial small subunit ribosomal RNA", at positions 524 to 776 of the family's 1533-position model. The record is from RNAcentral.
UACGAAGGGGGCUAGCGUUGCUCGGAAUCACUGGGCGUAAAGGGUGCGUAGGCGGGUCUUUAAGUCAGGGGUGAAAUCCUGGAGCUCAACUCCAGAACUGCCUUUAAUACUGAAGAUCUUGAGUUCGGGAGAGGUGAGUGGAACUGCGAGUGUAGAGGUGAAAUUCGUAGAUAUUCGCAAGAACACCAGUGGCGAAGGCGGCUCACUGGCCCGAUACUGACGCUGAGGCACGAAAGCUAGGGGAGCAAACGGG